Sciurus carolinensis (gray squirrel) is the source of this 7833-nucleotide long non-coding RNA. RefSeq lists it as uncharacterized. Lineage: Eukaryota; Metazoa; Chordata; Mammalia; Rodentia; Sciuridae. The record is from RefSeq and is a predicted model, not a curated record. The transcript is spliced from 5 exons.
GGGAGAAGAAAAUGAGCGGGCCAGUUGGGGACCGGGAGGAAUGGGAUUGGGGCGGGUAGGAGAAGGAGAGGGCAGGGAGGAGAAGGACCACGCAGACGCCAAGCGGCCCCGGGGCGGUCUGCCCGCUGCGCGCUGGUCUGGCCCCGGGCAUCGGAGCCGGCGUUUUCACCUCGAGUGUCCCGACGGGGCUGCGGGCGGAGCCCUGAGUGGCGCCCGGCUCAGGCAGACGCGGAAGAGCCCACGGAGGCAAGGCCUUCCCGCCUAUCCUCUGGCAGCCUCGGAGAGCCCGGCACUCGCACGGCUGGCGUAUGGCCCCGGGCAACUCCUGCGCGCUGCAGGACCGCCUGGGCCAUCCUCACCACCCCAGGUUCCCGGCGCAUCCAGGCCGCGCCUCCCCUCGCCGCGCCUCCCGGGCCCGAGGGCCAGGCUACGUCACUGCGGCUCUGACGCGCGCUAAUGGAGGCACGGGCGGAGGCGGCGGGGCGCGGGCUUCCUCCCGGGAGGUCCCGGUCCUUGCAGCCCGCCGCCGCGUCCUUGGCCCUCCUCCAGGGGAACCUCGAUUUUCCAAAUUCGGGAAGGCUGGCUGUCCUUCGACUACUGAUAAGGACGCGAGCGCUUGGUAAAAGAUUUUAACAAUGCCCGGAAAGAAAUAGCCGGACCCGAAAAAGAGACUAAUAAUAGCCGCCAGCUAGAGCUCUGCUCGUGUGAUCAGCGCCCUUAAGAACAAUAAUGACGACAACAACCAUAAUAGCUACCAUUUAUUGAGCGCUUACUCUGUGCCAGGCACUGUGUUAAGCGCUUUGCAGGCAACAACCCUCGGAGAACCCGCGGUCUUGGCCAUAGGCGAUGCCACUUCCAAACCACUUCCGAGAGCCCAGCAGGCUUUGGCCCCUGGUCCCAAGAGGCGCAGCAGCCCCUGAUGGGUUUUGCUCUGAGGUGUGGAUAUCAUUCCCACUUGAUGGAUGACGUCAGGAAACUGGGGGAUUUUCCUGUCCUCUGGGUCUGUCACUCCUGUCAGAUCCCUUACUUUUCCAGAUGUUUGGUCUGCAAAUUCCGUCAAGGAAAACACUGGAUUAAACAAACGACAGUGACUGUCUGGCAACGGACGCAUUGGAUAAUGCUUACCAGUCUCUCAGGUCAUUUUUUUUUUAUUAUUAUUACUGAAUCUUGGGAUCAAGUGAUUCAUAAUAAUGAGGGGAAGAAAGAACUCUGGGCUUGUUUUAGCUCUCAGGAUUAUUCAAUUGGAAGAGACUUUCACCCUUCACACCCCCCAAAAAAAGACAAAAUGCUUAAGGUAAAUUGCCAGUUUUUGUCUAUCUGGAAAAUCCAUUACUACUGAAUGAUGUUGGACUUGACCCAUUCCAAAACAAUAAAAAGAGGACUGAACGUCAAGAUUCAGAUUUUGUCCCUGAAAAUCCCUUUAGAAAGGGAUUUCCAAAUCAGUCAGUAUUCUUACAAUUCUUGACUUUCUCACCCCCAAGACUGUCCCAUCCCUUCUAGAUAACAGCAUUAUCUUCUCUCCCUUUGAGGAAGGCAGUGGCCCAGAGGCUAGAAGAAUAAGGGUCAAUAAGGAGGUCAGCUUUUGCGCCGACCUAUUUGAAUGGAGGGAAAUUCUAUGCGCGCCCUCUGGGCAAGAGUCUGUGGUUGUGCAUUCGCUGGCUGUGGUCCAAAAUCUCCCUAACAUGGAAGACUGAAAUAUGCCAAAAGGAAGACCUGUCUGGGAAGGACGUGGGUCCUCCCACCAAGAAGUUAGGGGUGGUCCGAGGGGGCCCCUAACUCAGAGACUGCGUGUGCAGCUGCUGGGUUAAAGAGAUUUGGAAACCGCUGAACAUUCCUGCUGGGAUCUUGCCAAGCCCUGUUGGGAACCGGCUACAGUGCUUGUCUGGGGAAAUUAGUUUUGCACUUUCACAGAGUGUGAAAUUCCUCAGGGGCAUUCUUGUACUCGGGAAGAGAAAUCAAACCCAGCUCAUUCCUUCAGGGUCUUUGCCAUUAAUAAAGCAGACGGAAUCCAGUUCGCUCGGUCCAGCCUGGGGCCUGCGGUGGGUGGGGACAGGAGCCGUAGAGUUUCACCUGUGGCAGAAGCCCUCCCCAAACCCGCGCAAGCCUGAGAUUUUAGGGGAUCCUGUUACCGGCUUGUAAACACCGUGAGUGACAGCCAACGCUCCCCAGCGACCACAGAGGAGCUCAAACCCUUCCUAUCUUCCUAGAAACCCUGGCUGCCCGACCGGCUGCUUGCUGUCUGAUGCAACAGUUUGCAACGCAGUUCUGGGAGUCGAGCCCUGCCGUGGGGCGUCUGGCGCCGAACCGAAGCGCAUGCGCGGGCUGCGGCUCUGCCCCGCCGGGCUGAUGUGGGGGGGGAAGCUUUUCUCCAGAUGUGCUGGAGGCGGGGCCGGGAGGGCGGGGAGACCUUUGGCAGCUCGCGCCUGCGAUCUGAGCUUAAUUAAACUUCUCCCGAGGCAUUGGCUGACUGAUUGACCCAGUGAUCCAAAAAAAAUCAGAGAGGCCCGAGUCGCCCCAAACGCACUGGGAGAACGAAGUUGAGGAGUUGGCUUUUGAUUUCUAGAGCUGGGCCUUUGAAUUCAACUUCCCUUCCCUGAGCCUCCCAAUCUCAGAUGCUGUCGGGGUUCUAAAGCGAAGUCAGGCCUUGCUUGCUUGAGGUUUUAUUUGCAGGAGGGAACCGCAUCACAGAUUGUUUUUCAAAAUUAUCAACUAUUCAGGUAUUGCUUUUACGAUUUUCUCCCAUACCCACAUUCCAUCAAUAUUAUAUUUUUAAUUGACUUUUUUAUUUUAUUAACUUUUUCUAAAUUAACUUUAAAUCGAUUCCCCUUUUUAUGUAUCCUUGCCCUAAGCAAUAUUAGCAAAACCACAGCUUGAAAAUAAAUUCAGAACUAUUAAAAUAUAAAAAAUGUAUAUAUGUUAGCUAAAAUUGUCUUGAAACUCUGGAGGUAAUAAUAACUAACAUAUUGAGUUCUAAGCAUUGAAUCCAUUCUAACUCCUCAUGACCACAUUAGGAGGUGGAUGUUGUCUACAUUUUACAGAAAAGGAAAGUGAGACACAGAGAGGUUAAGUAACUUGCCUUAAAGGAUCACAGAGCCAGCAGAAAACUUUCACCAGCCUGACUCUAAAGCCUGCAUACACUGCUGUCCUAGGCAAGGAGGAUCAAUAGUAGGAUUACCCAAAUCCCAGCCCUUUCUCCAGACCAAGCUUAAAUGUCAGGGCCUGGAUGAGGGCCUCCAGAGAACUGGGCAGGGCAGGGACAUUGGCAUAGGGGGAGUGAGACUCACAGCAACCAGGAUUCAAAUGCCAAUUCUGCUGUCACUGUGUGACCUGAACAUUUUAGUUUCCUUAUCUAUCCAUAAGGAAAUAGUUUCUUCCCAUACCUCCCAUCAGGCCAACUCAGAACUUCUCUCUAAGUCUAGAAGUCUCUCCUCAGGCGGAUCCUUCCUUCCUACCAAGGCUGGAUGGGUGUGGGCCCCUCCAGUAUGUCCACUUGGCUUUUGCUACUUACCUGGAUUAUGGCACUUAAUACCACUGUGUCGUAAUUUCCUGCUUCCCUCACCGAACCUGAAGAUCCUUGAGCACAGAGCCUCAACCUUGCUCACUGAUGUGUCUGCAGCGCCCAGCUCAAUGCCUGGCACACAGUGGGCACCCAUUAAAACUGUGUGGAACUAGAGAGCAAAGUGGACCCUGAACAGAAGCAGGCCCUCUCCUCCCAGCUCCAGAGGGAUGGCCACAUCCUCAGAGAAGGCAGAAGGACCCUCUGGCCUCCCCAGGUCACUUGCACGAGACACCACAGGGCAAGUUCAGUUGGUGACACCUAACGGGCAGAAAUGACUAGGGUAAGGAACAGGGCUCCAGAAUCGGUCUCUUGCAGGAUGGACCCACUCAGCUCCACUCCAGUGUUCAAGCGCUCUUUCCAAGGGCAGCACUCCUAGACUCUGGCCUGUUCAGUUUGUGUCAAGUGCACGCUUCACCUCUGAUCAUCUCACAACAGCCGCAGGAGGUAGGCUCCAUCCCUACUGCCGUUUUUAGCAGAUGACCGAAAGCUGGUGCUACUGGAGGUCCUCCCCCGGGGGUCAGUACUGUCUGAAACUGAACCCAAGUCCAGCGACUCCACAGCUAAACUUUGUUCCUACUUUGGAACCCAAGAGGUGUUUCAAAUCCCUCUCUCCUCACCCCCACGUCCUGGGGAGGACAAGGUUCCCUAUUCUGGCGUUCAUUUUUCUUCCCUAAAGUAACCCAUGAGCCUCUGGUUUCCAGGAGAAUACUGGUACAAGUCCUAUCGCUCUCCUCCGCGGACCACGGAACUGCUCAGGAGUUCCACCUAUCAGCAUUGAAACUACAUUUCCCAGAAUGCCGUUCCUGUCGGGAAAGAGAACAAAAUACCCUAUGUGAGGCUCUGUGUCUCCUAUUUUGGGGUCGGAAAAUUUGGUCACUAUCUUGGACAAAGAUUGGCAUGCCCAUAGGCUAAUUCUUUUGGCCCCAGGCAGCUAUGAAUUUCCCAGGCCUCAACGAUGGGGGAGGGGUGGGCUCUUGCAGCCAGCAAAACCUUCAAUUAGAGGAACCUGGCGUGGGGCUUGACCCCUGCACAGUAGGUAUGUUUUCUCUCCGCAAGAGCCCUCGCCACCACUACCACCGCUUCCCUCUCAUCACUUCCCUUCCUUUUCCCUUCUUCCAGAUUCUUCUCUUAAUUGCACCACUGUGCCACUCCCUUGUUCCCACCCCCUCCCCCUGCCCACACCCACGGCUUUAACCGUUUCCUAUAAAAUCCAGCCCACCAGACUGAGGUUUUCUUCGACCCAAAUGUUAUUUUCAGAAGGAGCCAUUGAGGUUGGGGAGUAAUUGCAGCGUUGGGCCUCUGUGAGCCAAGCUGAAAAUAAUCAGCGAGGCAGAUGGGGCGGGAAGAGAGCGCAGUGCCCUUCCACCAAAGAGCCAGAGAAACCCAGCAGAGUGAGUCAGAGGGAGGCAAGCGCCAGGCUGGGCCUGCCUGGCUUAUGGCUGGGAGUUCAGUUAAGGGGAAACCGCCCAAGGUGUUGGGGCCUUUCACUGAAGCCCAGUCCAAGGUGGUUCCUGGCCGCACAUCACAAGUCCAUAUUUCUUGUGACAGCCGCUAAACUUCUCUGCUCUUACUCAGUUGGGCCAUAGCAGCCAGUAGGCCACAUUGGAACUUGACCUUGCCAGCUGGCUCCCUUGCCUUUGCAGCAGGGUUUCUCAGCUUCAGCACUAUUGACAAGUUGGGCUGGGUAGUUUUUUGUUGUGGGAAGCUGCCCCGCUUACCGUGGGAUGUUUAGCAGCACCCCUGGUCUCUACCCUCUUGAUGCCAGUAGCCCACGCACAUACACACACCCACUCCGUGGUGAUAGUCAAAAAAUGUUGGGCUGGGCUGGUAGCUCAGUGGUAGAGUGCUUGCCUAGCAUGAGUGAGGCACUGGAUUUGAUGGUCAGCACUGCAUAUAAAUAAAGUUUCAUCAACAACUAAAAAAUUAAAAAAAAAAAAAAUGUCUCAGACCUCCCAGCUGGGAAAGUCACACCUGGUUGAGAGCCAAUAGCCACAGAAGGGUCACAUCAUCUAUCCCCAUGGUGGCCUCACAGGCUUCCCUCACAUCUGAGUGGACCCAGAUCCAAAGUAUUGACCAAAUGUUAUUGCCAGUGGCAGUUGAUGGAUGCCAAGACAAGUGCCCACCAGGUACCAGGUACUGUACUCAGAAUUAGUAACAAAGUAGAGAAUGAGGCAGAUGUGGCUCCUGUCCUCAUGGAAAUGACUGGCUUGUUGGGUAAGUCAGGCAUUCAAGGAAAGGAAAGGUACGGGCUACAGAAUAUAAAAGAAUUUCUGACCCAGAUUAGGGAUUCAAAAAAGGCUCUUGGAAGCCAGGUGUGGUGGUUCAGGCCUUUCAUUCAACAACUCAGGAGGCUAAAGAAGGAGGAUUUCAAGUUCAAGGCCGGCCUCAGCCACUUAGCAAGGCCCUAAGCAACUUAGUGAGAUUCUGUCUCAAAAGUCUGGGGAUGUAACUCAGUGUUUACGUGCCUGGAGGUUCAAUCCACUGUAACAAAAAAAAAAAAAAAAAAGACUGUUGGAGGAAAUGAGGAAUAAGUCAAUUGGAUACUCAUGGAUGGGGGGAGUGUUCUGCAGACCAGGGACAGUGCUCAGACACCUUGAAUUAAGACUGCCAUAUUUGGGCUGGGGAGAUAGCUCAGCUGGUAGAGUGCUUGCCUCACAAGCACAAGGUCCUGAGUUCGAUCCCCAGUACCGCAAAAAAAAAAAAAAAAAAAAAAAAAAAAAAAAAAAAAAAAAAAAAAGACUGCCAUAUUUUAAGUGACACAGAAAAGUUUGUCAUGGACCAGGCUUAGGACAGGGGAGAAGCAUUUUCUCCCCUCACCCUCAAAACUUGCAUUUCCUGUCCUCCUCCUCCAGGUUCCUAGCACAGUAUGUAAACUUAAGAUCAUAUUUAACCAUAUUUAAACCACCAAUCCCCUCGUCCUCACUCAACCCUCCUCUGUCAACCAGUUACCAAGUUCUGUUCUCCUACCACGAAAUCUCUGUGCAAACUAUCUCCUGGUCUUCGUUCCCACCACCAAAACCCUGAUCUGAUGCAGGCUGUCUUCAUUACUCAACCAAAUUGGAGAAAUAGCUUCCGAACGAGUCAUUCUCCAGAGCCUACCUCAGAGAAAGACAUACAUCUAAUUGUGUCUCCCUUGGCUUAAAAAUCCCGGGUGGCUUCCAGAGGUCCAUCAACCUGCAUCCUGCCCUUCAUUAACCAAGCCCCACCCCCCUCACUAUACCAGACCACCAGCCACCCCUGUGGGCGUCCACACCUCCAUCCCUCUGCUGUUCUCUGUCUGAAGUGCUCUUCCCAACCAAAACCAUUUGGGAAAAACCCACAUGUCCCUUAAGACCCAGGCAAAAUGAACUCAUCAUUCUCUUGUUCCUCUGCUUCUGUUUUUCCUCAGUCCUGGGGAUUGAACCCACCAGUGCUCUACCACUGAGCUAUAUCCCCAGCCCUUUUUAUUUUUUGAGAUGGGGUUUCAUUAAGUCACCAAGUCUGGCCUCAAACUUGUGAUCUUCUUGCCUCAUCCUUCCAGGUAGCUGGGGUUACAGGUGCAUGCCAACUGCACCCAUCCCUCCUGUCUCUAAAUGCCCAUUCUUAAUUCUUCCCAUUGCUUUAUUUGGACUUUUAAUAACACUGCUAGUUUAUCAAUUGCCACAUGGACCCACAAUUAUCUGCUUCAAUCUGUCAGUCCCCUUAGAGUCUGAGGACCUCAUGGGCAGGUUGAUGAAGUAGACCCUGCUACUCCAUUCUCCCCUUCCAACUUUCUAAGAGAAGCCAAGGAAACACAAGGCACAGGGUAUAAUUAAAAGUACCAGCUAAACUGUUAUAACUAGCCAAUCCAGACUACAGAGACUGUGGAAGCCCAUGGGUCUCAGUGGGACCUGACCCCUUGUUAGGCCCCAGGGAUGGGCCUACCACCCUUCCCAAGAAUUGAUUCUGAUCCUAAAUUAGUGUGCAGCAAAGAUGUUCCUGGUUGACUAAUAUCCACUCUCCUUUAAGAAUGGAACUGAUUUUCCACUGAGCCAAUGGCUGCCUCACUGAAGACUACAUUUCCCAGCCUCCCUUGUAGUUGGAUGUGGCUGUGAGUCUAAGUUCUCACCAAUAGACAAUGAGCAGAAAUGACUACCAAUUUAUAAGCUGUGCCCUCAAAGGAAUGUGCAUGUGCUCUUCUAAUCUUCUCCUGCCCCUUUCUCUCUGACUGGGAGAUGACAGAAAUUGAAGCAGACUCCUUGCAUCUAGAGAAAGGAACCACAUUUGAAGGAUGGCCAAGCCCUCCCAUCGUCUUG